This 354-nucleotide transfer-messenger RNA is filed under the name Dehalococcoidia bacterium. It matches the Rfam family "transfer-messenger RNA". From Rfam's summary of the family: Bacterial tmRNA, also known as 10Sa RNA or SsrA, is named for its dual tRNA and mRNA-like properties. Lineage: Bacteria; Bacillati; Chloroflexota; Dehalococcoidia. The record is from RNAcentral.
GGGGACGCGUGGGUUCGACAGGGGAAGUAUGUUGCAGGAUUGCAAGCUGAGGUGCCGCUAACCUCAUAAAACAAGUGGCAAAAAUAACUGGCGAACCUGAAUUGGUUUUUGCAGCCUAAUUAAGUAGGUUGCACAUCCACCCUGACCUCCCCUCAAUGGGUUGGGAGUGGGUGCCGGAAAGUUGAGGUGCCACCAUCUGGAUGUCGAUAAAGAUGGUGAAAGAGUUAUCGACUGGCUUGGCUAAACUCGGUCAGCAGAGGCUAGCCAGGUAAGAUUAAAUAGCUGACUAAGCUUGUAGUAUAUUCUGGGCAGCUUCUUUUGGACGGGGAGUUCGACUCUCCCCCGUCUCCACCA